RNAcentral lists this unclassified non-coding RNA (235 nucleotides) under fungal sp. Its description in RNAcentral is "partial internal transcribed spacer region". The stretch from base 1 to 46 matches the Rfam family "Eukaryotic small subunit ribosomal RNA", at positions 1786 to 1831 of the family's 1831-position model. The record is from RNAcentral. Lineage: Eukaryota; Fungi.
AAGUCGUAACAAGGUUUCCGUAGGUGAACCUGCGGAAGGAUCAUUACAAAAUAUGACUGUGGCUGUAGUGGAGCUCGACUUUGUUGAGUUUCCUCAGUUACUUGAGCCCACUCCUGAAAGGGAGAUGGACAGCAUGCAUUCAUUCUUUUAUGAAUGUGUGUGACAUAGACUUUAAAUCAUGACUUAUUUCAUUAUUAAAUAACCAAAACUUUUAACAAUGGAUCUCUUGGCUCUU